GCGUGAAGCAGGUGGAUCCCUUCGGGGUGACACCUGUGGAUCGAGCGGCGGACGGGUGAGUAACACGUGGGCAACCUGCCUGUAAGACUGGGAUAACCCCGGGAAACCGGGGCUAAUACCGGGUAAUACCGGACUCCGCAUGGAGUCUGGUUGAAAGAUGGCUUCUUGCUAUCACUUACAGAUGGGCCCGCGGCGCAUUAGCUAGUUGGUGAGGUAACGGCUCACCAAGGCAACGAUGCGUAGCCGACCUGAGAGGGUGAUCGGCCACACUGGGACUGAGACACGGCCCAGACUCCUACGGGAGGCAGCAGUAGGGAAUCUUCCGCAAUGGACGAAAGUCUGACGGAGCAACGCCGCGUGAACGAUGAAGGUCUUCGGAUCGUAAAGUUCUGUUGUCAGGGAAGAACACGUACCGUUCGAACAGGACGGUACCUUGACGGUACCUGACGAGGAAGCCCCGGCUAACUACGUGCCAGCAGCCGCGGUAAUACGUAGGGGGCAAGCGUUGUCCGGAAUUAUUGGGCGUAAAGCGCGCGCAGGCGGUUCCUUAAGUCUGAUGUGAAAGCCCACGGCUCAACCGUGGAGGGUCAUUGGAAACUGGGGAACUUGAGUACAGAAGAGGAGAGUGGAAUUCCACGUGUAGCGGUGAAAUGCGUAGAU
This 660-nucleotide ribosomal RNA is filed under the name Thalassobacillus sp. YIM 93908. Its description in RNAcentral is "bacterial SSU rRNA". It matches the Rfam family "Bacterial small subunit ribosomal RNA", at positions 53 to 695 of the family's 1533-position model. The record is from RNAcentral. Lineage: Bacteria; Bacillati; Bacillota; Bacilli; Caryophanales; Bacillaceae.